GAUGAACGCUGGCGGCGUGCCUAAUACAUGCAAGUCGAGCGAACAGACGAGGAGCUUGCUCCUCUGACGUUAGCGGCAGAUGGGUGAGUAACACGUGGAUAACCUACCUAUAAGACUGGGAUAACUUCGGGAAACCGGAGCUAAUACCGGAUAAUAUAUUGAACCGCAUGGUUCAAUAGUGAAAGACGGUUUUGCUGUCACUUAUAGAUGGAUCCGCGCCGCAUUAGCUAGUUGGUAAGGUAACGGCUUACCAAGGCAACGAUGCGUAGCCGACCUGAGAGGGUGAUCGGCCACACUGGAACUGAGACACGGUCCAGACUCCUACGGGAGGCAGCAGUAGGGAAUCUUCCGCAAUGGGCGAAAGCUUGACGGAGCAACGCCGCGUGAGUGAUGAAGGUCUUCGGAUCGUAAAACUCUGUUAUUAGGGAAGAACAAAUGUGUAAGUAACUAUGCACGUCUUGACGGUACCUAAUCAGAAAGCCACGGCUAACUACGUG
RNAcentral lists this ribosomal RNA (497 nucleotides) under uncultured bacterium. Its description in RNAcentral is "partial 16S ribosomal RNA". It matches the Rfam family "Bacterial small subunit ribosomal RNA", at positions 28 to 507 of the family's 1533-position model. The record is from RNAcentral.